Non-coding RNA from Methylocystis sp., 64 nucleotides. Lineage: Bacteria; Pseudomonadati; Pseudomonadota; Alphaproteobacteria; Hyphomicrobiales; Methylocystaceae. The record is from Rfam.
UGUCAAGAGUCGGCGCCGUUUCGGCGAGCAGAUUUCUUUUGCCUGAACGAGGCAAAAGCAUAUG